AACUCCAAACUAGGACAAGAGUUUUAAAGUUCAUCUCCUCUCUCUUUUCUCUCAAACCAAGACGCAGAAAGAAAAAAAGAAUUCUCCACAAGAUGAUGAAGACGAAGAGGAGACAUGAAAGAGCACUUACAUGUACGUACAUAUUGGCAUAUUUAUACGCAUAAUAUCCACUAUAUAUAUACACUCUCACCGGUAAUGAAUGCGAAGAGAUGCAUUAGAGGCUACUUCGGUGUUUCGCCGGGAAAAUAAAAGUUAUCAUGAGUCGUCGGCGUACAUGGGAAGGCCAGGCAUUUUUGGUUUAAUUUUUCUCUCUCUUUCUAUCAUAUUAUGUAAUUCUUUUUAUGAAAAAAUGUCAUAUUUUCAUAAAGUUUCUAUUGUUGUUAUUCAGAUUAUAUCGCAAACAAAUUCGUAAUAAGAUGAAACGAUGGAAAUGUUUUCCUACUUUCUGUGUUUUUCAUCUUCUUCCUACAACAUUC
RNAcentral lists this small RNA (476 nucleotides) under Arabidopsis thaliana (thale cress). RNAcentral's name for it is "putative long intergenic non-coding RNA". The record is from RNAcentral. Lineage: Eukaryota; Viridiplantae; Streptophyta; Magnoliopsida; Brassicales; Brassicaceae.